This 300-nucleotide ribosomal RNA is filed under the name uncultured Lactobacillus sp. Its description in RNAcentral is "bacterial SSU rRNA". It matches the Rfam family "Bacterial small subunit ribosomal RNA", at positions 496 to 795 of the family's 1533-position model. Lineage: Bacteria; Bacillati; Bacillota; Bacilli; Lactobacillales; Lactobacillaceae. The record is from RNAcentral.
GGAAAGGCCGGGCACGCGGUCGCGGGAAAACGUGGGUGGGUGGGGUUGCCCGGGUUAACGGGGCGGAAAGCGGGUGUAGGGGGUUCUUGAAGUCUGAUGUGAAAGCCAGCGGCCCAACCGCUGAAUUGCAUCCGAUACUGGGGAACUUGAGGACGGUAGAGGUCGGGGGAAUUCCAGGUGUACCGGUGAAAUGGACAGAUAUCUGGAGGAACACCAGUGGCGAAGGCGGCCGACUGGGCCGAUCCUGACGCUGAGACCCGAAAGCCAGGGUAGCGAACCGGAUUAGAUACCCGAGUAGUC